Molecule: ribosomal RNA, 443 nt
Filed under: uncultured bacterium
Lineage: Bacteria
Description: partial 16S ribosomal RNA
Rfam family: Bacterial small subunit ribosomal RNA
Source: RNAcentral
CCUACGGGUGGCAGCAGUGGGGAAUAUUGGGCAAUGGUGGCAACUCUGACCCAGCAAUGCCGCGUGAGUGAAGAAGGUCUUCGGAUUGUAAAGCUCUUUAAUCAGGGAAGAAGAAGAUGACGGUACCUGAGGGAUAAGCCACGGCAAACUAUGGGCCAGCAGCCGCGGUAAUACAUAGGGGGCAAGCGUUGUGCGGAAUGACUGGGUGUAAAGGGAGCGUAGGCGGUCUGGUAAGUUGGAAGUGAAAUCCCGGGGCUCAACCCCGGCACUGCUGUUAAGACUGACGGACUUGAGUGUGAGGGAGGUAAGCGGAAUUCGUAGUGUAGCGGUGAAAUGCGUAGAUAUUAGGAGGAACUCCAGUGGCGAAGGCGGCUUACUGGAUUAUAACUGACGCUGAGGCUCGAAAGCGUGGGUAGCGAACAGGAUUAGAUACCCGAGUAGUC